RNAcentral lists this ribosomal RNA (736 nucleotides) under Acinetobacter baumannii. Its description in RNAcentral is "bacterial SSU rRNA". It matches the Rfam family "Bacterial small subunit ribosomal RNA", at positions 1 to 731 of the family's 1533-position model. The record is from RNAcentral. Lineage: Bacteria; Pseudomonadati; Pseudomonadota; Gammaproteobacteria; Moraxellales; Moraxellaceae.
UAACUGAAGAGUUUGAUCAUGGCUCAGAUUGAACGCUGGCGGCAGGCUUAACACAUGCAAGUCGAGCGGGGGAAGGUAGCUUGCUACUGGACCUAGCGGCGGACGGGUGAGUAAUGCUUAGGAAUCUGCCUAUUAGUGGGGGACAACAUCUCGAAAGGGAUGCUAAUACCGCAUACGUCCUACGGGAGAAAGCAGGGGAUCUUCGGACCUUGCGCUAAUAGAUGAGCCUAAGUCGGAUUAGCUAGUUGGUGGGGUAAAGGCCUACCAAGGCGACGAUCUGUAGCGGGUCUGAGAGGAUGAUCCGCCACACUGGGACUGAGACACGGCCCAGACUCCUACGGGAGGCAGCAGUGGGGAAUAUUGGACAAUGGGGGGAACCCUGAUCCAGCCAUGCCGCGUGUGUGAAGAAGGCCUUAUGGUUGUAAAGCACUUUAAGCGAGGAGGAGGCUACUUUAGUUAAUACCUAGAGAUAGUGGACGUUACUCGCAGAAUAAGCACCGGCUAACUCUGUGCCAGCAGCCGCGGUAAUACAGAGGGUGCGAGCGUUAAUCGGAUUUACUGGGCGUAAAGCGUGCGUAGGCGGCUUAUUAAGUCGGAUGUGAAAUCCCCGAGCUUAACUUGGGAAUUGCAUUCGAUACUGGUGAGCUAGAGUAUGGGAGAGGAUGGUAGAAUUCCAGGUGUAGCGGUGAAAUGCGUAGAGAUCUGGAGGAAUACCGAUGGCGAAGGCAGCCAUCUG